GCCCGGGUGGUCUAGUGGUAUGAUUCGCGCUUAGUAAGACUUCCUAAUUGGAUCAAAUCUCUACCUUACAAAUUUACUAACAAACUGUUCAGGGGUUCACCCAAAGCAAUAUUGCGCGAGGUCCCCGGUUCAAUCCCGGGCUCGGGCC
RNAcentral lists this transfer RNA (148 nucleotides) under Penicillium chrysogenum. RNAcentral describes it as "tRNA-Thr". RNAcentral also lists the same sequence under 1 other name. Lineage: Eukaryota; Fungi; Ascomycota; Eurotiomycetes; Eurotiales; Aspergillaceae. The record is from RNAcentral.